GAAAGUAAGCAAGGGCAGACGGUGGAUGCCUUGGCUCUCGGAGGCGAAGAAGGACGUGAUAAGCUGCGAAAAGCCCGGGGGAGAUGCAAAUAAUCCUUGAUCCCGGGAUAUCCGAAUGGGGCAACCCGGCAGGUUGAAGGCCUGUCACCUUGAAAUAAGGAGCAAACGCGGGGAACUGAAACAUCUAAGUACCCGUAGGAGAAGAAAACAAAAGUGAUUCCGUAAGUAGUGGCGAGCGAACACGGAACAGCCCAAACCGGUGUUGUUUAGGCAAUACCGGGGUAGUAGGACCACGCUGUGGCAAGCAAACAGGGAAGUGGAAUCAACUGGAAAGUUGAGCCAGAGACGGUGAAAGCCCGGUACACGACUCCCUGUGGAAGCCUAGUGGUAUCCUGAGUAACGCGGAGCACGAGGAAUUCUGCGCGAAUCAGCGGGGCCCAUCCCGUAAGGCUAAAUACUCCCGAGAGACCGAUAGCGAACCAGUACUGUGAAGGAAAGGUGAAAAGAACCCCGAACAGGGGAGUGAAAUAGACCCUGAACCCGUCUGCCUACAAGCGGUCGGAGCAGCUUCAAGCUGUGACGGCGUGCCUUUUGCAUAAUGAACCUACGAGUUACUUUCAGUGGCAAGGUUAAGUACUUCAGGUACGGAUCCGAAGCGAAAGCGAGUCUGAAAAGGGCGUCAAGUCACUGUGAGUAGACGCGAAACCAAGUGAUCUACCCUUGUCCAGGAUGAAGGUUGGGUAACACCACCUGGAGGUCCGAAUGGUUAUACGUUGAAAAGUGUUCCAAUGAGAUGAGGGUAGGGGUGAAAGGCUAAUCAAACUUGGAGAUAGCUCGUACUCCCCGAAAUGCAUUUAGGUGCAGCCUGUGUGAAGUAUAAUAUGAGGUAGAGCGACUGAUUGGAUGCGAGGGCUUCACCGCCUAUCAAGUCCAGACAAACUCCGAAUGCGUAUUAUAUGAUUCCACGGAGUGAGGGCAUGGGUGCUAAGGUCCAUGUCCGAGAGGAGAAGAAUCCAGACCACCUGCUAAGGUCCCGAAAUAAUGCUUAAGUUGAGAAAACGAAGUCAGAUUGCAAAGACAGCUAGGAUGUUGGCUUGGAAGCAGCCAUUCAUUUAAAGAGUGCGUAACAGCUCACUAGUCGAGGAAUUUGGCAUGGAUAAUAAUCGGGCAUAAAGCAUUUACCGAAGCAGUGGAAUCAGUAAUGAUUGGUAGGGGAGCAUUCCGGCGGCGUCGAAGAUAGAGGAUGACCUCUGUUGGAGCUUCCGGAAAAGCAAAUGUAGGUAUAAGUAACGAUAAAGGAGGUGAGAAACCUCCUCGCCGAAAGACUAAGGUUUCCUGAUCAACGUUAAUCGGAUCAGGGUAAGUCGGGACCUAAGGAUAAGCCGAACGGCGAAGCCGAUGGAAGAAACGGUUAAUAUUCCGUUACUACUUUAAUGAGUGACGUGGAGACGGAGAAGUGACAGUCCUGCCGGCUGACGGAAUAGCCGGUUGAAGGGUGUAGGAGUAGAUCCUUGCAGGCAAAUCCACAAGGAGAUCCGAACUUGAUAGUAUGGAGCGCACCCCGGUGCAAUCCAAAAUGGACGUAAUCAGGCUCCCGAGAAAAUCCGCUAAACCUAAUCAUUAAAGUACCCGUACCACAAACGGACACACGUAGUUGGGUUGAAAAUACUGAGGCGCUCGAGUGAGUCACGGUUAAGGAACUAGGCAAAAUGGUCCUGUAACUUCGGGAUAAAGGACGCCAAUCGUAAGAUUGGCCGCAGAGAAUAGGCCCAGGCGACUGUUUAACAAAAACACAUGGCUGUGCGAAAUAGUUAACAUGAAGUAUACAGCCUGACACCUGCCCGGUGCUGGAAGGUUAAGAGGAGGACUCAGCGCAAGCGAAGGUCUGAAUUGAAGCCCCAGUAAACGGCGGCCGUAACUAUAACGGUCCUAAGGUAGCGAAAUUCCUUGUCGGGU
This 1956-nucleotide ribosomal RNA is filed under the name human gut metagenome. RNAcentral describes it as "bacterial LSU rRNA". It matches the Rfam family "Bacterial large subunit ribosomal RNA", at positions 1 to 1977 of the family's 2925-position model. The record is from RNAcentral.